ACCCAGACCGCCAGCUAAGGUCCCAAAGUCAUGGUUAAGUGGGAAACGAUGUGGGAAGGCCCAGACAGCCAGGAUGUUGGCUUAGAAGCAGCCAUCAUUUAAAGAAAGCGUAAUAGCUCACUGGUCGAGUCGGCCUGCGCGGAAGAUGUAACGGGGCUAAACCAUGCACCGAAGCUGCGGCAGCGACACUAUGUGUUGUUGGGUAGGGGAGCGUUCUGUAAGCCUGUGAAGGUGUGCUGUGAGGCAUGCUGGAGGUAUCAGAAGUGCGAAUGCUGACAUAAGUAACGAUAAAGCGGGUGAAAAGCCCGCUCGCCGGAAGACCAAGGGUUCCUGUCCAACGUUAAUCGGGGCAGGGUGAGUCGACCCCUAAGGCGAGGCCGAAAGGCGUAGUCGAUGGGAAACAGGUUAAUAUUCCUGUACUUGGUGUUACUGCGAAGGGGGGACGGAGAAGGCUAUGUUGGCCGGGCGACGGUUGUCCCGGUUUAAGCGUGUAGGCUGGUUUUCCAGGCAAAUCCGGAAAAUCAAGGCUGAGGCGUGAUGACGAGGCACUACGGUGCUGAAGCAACAAAUGCCCUGCUUCCAGGAAAAGCCUCUAAGCAUCAGGUAACAUCAAAUCGUACCCCAAACCGACACAGGUGGUCAGGUAGAGAAUACCAAGGCGCUUGAGAGAACUCGGGUGAAGGAACUAGGCAAAAUGGUGCCGUAACUUCGGGAGAA
Molecule: ribosomal RNA, 717 nt
Filed under: Escherichia coli
Lineage: Bacteria; Pseudomonadati; Pseudomonadota; Gammaproteobacteria; Enterobacterales; Enterobacteriaceae
Description: partial 23S ribosomal RNA
Rfam family: Bacterial large subunit ribosomal RNA
Source: RNAcentral